Molecule: ribosomal RNA, 492 nt
Filed under: uncultured bacterium
Lineage: Bacteria
Description: partial 16S ribosomal RNA
Rfam family: Bacterial small subunit ribosomal RNA
Source: RNAcentral
AGUGAACGCUGGCGGUAGGCCUAACACAUGCAAGUCGAACGGCAGCACAGUAAGAGCUUGCUCUUACGGGUGGCGAGUGGCGGACGGGUGAGGAAUACAUCGGAAUCUACUUUUUCGUGGGGGAUAACGUAGGGAAACUUACGCUAAUACCGCAUACGACCUACGGGUGAAAGCAGGGGAUCGUCGGACCUUGCGCGAUUGAAUGAGCCGAUGUCGGAUUAGCUAGUUGGCGGGGUAAAGGCCCACCAAGGCGACGAUCCGUAGCUGGUCUGAGAGGAUGAUCGGCCACACUGGAACUGAGACACGGUCCAGACUCCUACGGGAGGCAGCAGUGUGGAAUAUUGGACAAUGGGCGCAAGCCUGAUCCAGCCAUACCGCGUGUGUGAAGAAGGCCUUCGGGUUGUAAAGCCCUUUUGUUGGGAAAGAAAAGCAGCAGGUUAAUACCCCGCUGUUCUGACGGUACCCAAAGAAUAAGCACCGGCUAACUUCGUG